This 2812-nucleotide ribosomal RNA is filed under the name Cyanobacteria bacterium QS_6_48_18. RNAcentral describes it as "bacterial LSU rRNA". It matches the Rfam family "Bacterial large subunit ribosomal RNA". The record is from RNAcentral. Lineage: Bacteria; Bacillati; Cyanobacteriota.
AGGUCAAGCAAGUAAGAGCUAACGGUGGAGCCCUAGGCACACAGAGACGAAGAAGGACGUAGCGACCGACGAUACACUCCGGGGAGCUGGAAGCAAGCCUCGAUCCGGAGGUCUCCGAAUGGGACAACCCCUAGCACGGCUCGUUGAAUCCAUAGACGAGCGCGAGGGAACCCGGUGAACUGAAAUAUCUUAGUAACCGGAGGAAAAGAAAGCAACUGCGAUUCCCCCAGUAGCGACGAGCGAACGGGGAGCAGCCUAAACUCUCCACUGCGGUGGAGAGGGUAGUGGGACAGCCACCAGGGACGGGAAAGGUUAGACCAAGCAGUAGAAUGCUGCACCAAAGAAGGUGAAAGUCCUGUAGUCGAAAACCGGAACUGCCCGGCUGUAUCCCGAGUAGCACGGGGCACGUGAAAUCCUGUGUGAAUCAGCGAGGACCACCUCGUAAGGCUAAAUAUUCCUGUGUGACCGAUAGCGAACCAGUACCGCGAGGGAAAGGUGAAAAGAACCCCGGAGAGGGGAGUGAAAAAGAACGUGAAACCGUUAGCUUACAAGCAGUGGGAGGACGAUUCAACGUCUGACCGCGUGCCUGUUGAAGAAUGAGCCGGCGAGUGACAAGGAGUGGCUGGUUAAGGCGGAAAGCGCCGAAGCCUCAGCGAAAGCGAGUCCGAACAGGGCGCGUAGUCACCCCUUGUCGACCCGAACCCGGGUGAACUAACCAUGUCCAGGAAGAAGCUUGGGUAAUACCAAGUGGAAGUCCGAACCGACCAACGUUGCAAAGUUGGCGGAUGAGGUGUGGUUAGGGGUGAAAUGCCAAUCGAACCCGGAGCUAUCUGGUUCUCCCCGAAAUGCGUUUCGGCGCAGCGGUAGUCCUCACUCCGGUGGGGGUAAAGCACUGUUUCGCUGCGGGCUGCGAAAGCGGUACCAAAGCGAGGCAAACUCAGAAUACCACCAGGAGCAACUACCAGUGAGACGGUGGGGGAUAAGCUUCAUCGUCAAGAGGGAAACAGCCCAGACCACCAGCUAAGGUCCCCAAAUGGUCACUCAGUGAUUAAGGAGGUGGGAAUGCUGAGACAACCAGGAGGUUUGCUUAGAAGCAGCAACCCUUAAAAGAGUGCGUAAUAGCUCACUGGUCAAGCGUUCCGGCGCCGAAAAUGAGCGGGGCUAAGUGACCUGCCGAAGCUGUGGACGUAAUCAUCGUGGUAGGGGAGCGUUCUGUGGCGGGAGAAGCACUAGCGGCGAGCAGGUGUGGACGCCACAGAAGUGAGAAUGUCGGCUUAAGUAGCGAAAACUUGGGUGAGAAUCCCAAGCCCCGAAACCCCAAGGGUUCCUCCGGAAGGUUCGUCCGCGGAGGGUAAGUCAGGACCUAAGGCGAGGCCGAAAGGCGUAGUCGAUGGACAACGGGUUAACAUUCCCGUACCGUGGCGAGCUAGUGAUGGGUGACGGAGAAGGGCGACACCAUCCGGGGAUCGGUAGUCCCGGUGCAAGCGUCCCAGGCGAAGAAGGGCGGCGAAAACGCCCCGAGCCCAGGCGCGAGUCCGACUCCCUACGGGGAGGAAGUGGUGUCGCUCAUCUUCCCAGAAAAGCCCUGACCACGGCAAGCUCGUCACGCCUGUACUCGAAACCGACACAGGUGGGGUGGUAGAGCAUACCGAGGGGCGCGAGAGAACUCUCUCUAAGGAACUCGGCAAAAUGGCCCCGUAACCUCGGGAGAAGGGGUGCCACCGAGAGGUGGCCGCAGUGACCAGGCCCAGGCGACUGUUUACCAAAAACACAGGUCUCCGCUAAGUCGAAAGACGCCGUAUGGAGGCUGACGCCUGCCCAGUGCCGGAAGGUUAAGGAAGUCGGUUAGCCCCACAGGGGCGAAGCGGGCAACCGAAGCCCCGGUGAACGGCGGCCGUAACUAUAACGGUCCUAAGGUAGCGAAAUUCCUUGUCGGGUAAGUUCCGACCCGCACGAAAGGCGCAACGAUCUGGGCACUGUCUCGGAGAGAGACUCGGCGAAAUAGGAAUGUCUGUGAAGAUACGGACUACCUGCACCAGGACAGAAAGACCCCAUGAAGCUUGACUGUAACCUGGAAUGGGGUUGCGGCUUGGCAUGCGCAGGAUAGGUGGGAGGCGUAGAAAGUUCCCUUGAGGGGGAACCGGAGCCAUCCUUGAGAUACCACCCUUGUCAGGCGGGAAUCCUAACCCUUGCCCGUAAGCCGGGGAGGGGACAGUUUCAGGCGGGCAGUUUGACUGGGGCGGUCGCCUCCUAAAAAGUAACGGAGGCGCGCCAAGGUUCCCUCAGGCUGGUUGGAAAUCAGCCCGAGAGUGUAAAGGCACAAGGGAGCCUGACUGCGAGAGAGACACCUCAAGCAGGGACGAAAGUCGGCCUUAGUGAUCCGACGGCGCUGCGUGGAAGGGCCGUCGCUCAACGGAUAAAAGUUACUCUGGGGAGGGCGGGAGUACGUCCCAAGGGUUGGGCUGUUCGCCCAUUAAAGCGGUACGUGAGCUGGGUUCAGAACGUCGUGAGACAGUUCGGUCCAUAUCCGGUGCAGGCGCAAGAGCAUUGAGAGGAGCCCUCCUUAGUACGAGAGGACCGGGAGGGACGCACCGCUGGUGUACCAGUUAUCCCGCCAGGGGUAGACGCUGGGUAGCCAAGUGCGGAGCGGAUAACCGCUGAAAGCAUCUAAGUGGGAAGCCCACCUCAAGAUGAGUGCUCUCACUCCUUAAAGGAGUUAAGGUCACAGCUAGACUAGCUGUGGAUAGGCGCUAGGUGUAAGCGUGGCAACACGUGCAGCCGAGGCGUCCUAACAGACCGAGGGCUUGACCUC